GAUGAACGCUGGCGGCGCGCCUAACACAUGCAAGUCGAACGAUUAAAGCACCUUCGGGUGUGUAUAAAGUGGCGAACGGCUGAGUAACACGUGGGCAACCUGCCCCUCUCAUUGGGAUAGCCACGGGAAACCGUGGAUAAUACCGAAUACUUCGGGACUUCCGCAUGGAAGACUCGAGAAAGCUCCGGCGGAGAGGGAUGGGCCCGCUGCCUGUUAGCUUGUUGGUGGGGUAAUGGCCUACCAAGGCAAUGAUGGGUAGCUGGGUUGAGAGACCGACCAGCCAGAUUGGGACUGAGACACGGCCCAGACUCCUACGGGAGGCAGCAGUGGGGAAUCUUGCACAAUGGGCGAAAGCCUGAUGCAGCGACGCCGCGUGCGGGAUGAAGGCCUUCGGGUUGUAAACCGCUUUCAGCAGGGACGAGGCGAAAGUGACGGUACCUGCAGAAGAAGCCCCGGCUAACUACGUG
This 467-nucleotide ribosomal RNA is filed under the name uncultured bacterium. Its description in RNAcentral is "partial 16S ribosomal RNA". It matches the Rfam family "Bacterial small subunit ribosomal RNA", at positions 28 to 507 of the family's 1533-position model. The record is from RNAcentral.